RNA transcript from Carlito syrichta (Philippine tarsier), 376 nucleotides. It is a transcript of the gene named 40S ribosomal protein S7 pseudogene, with no coding region annotated. The transcript has a single exon. The record is from RefSeq and is a predicted model, not a curated record. NCBI's taxonomy places the organism in Eukaryota, Metazoa, Chordata, Mammalia, Primates, Tarsiidae.
CUUCCUAAACCGGUGCUCAGCAAGGAGAAGGCCAUGUUCAGCUCGAGCGCCAAGAUCGUGAAGCCCAAUGGCGAGAAGCCAGAUGAGUUCGAGUCUGGCAUCUCUCAGGCUCUCCUGGAGCUGGAGAUGAAUUCGGACCUUAAGGCGCAGCUCAGGGAGCUCAACAUAACAGCGGCCAAGGAAAUUGAAGUUGGUGGUGGUCGGAAAGCUAUCAUAAUCUUUGUUCCCGUUCCUCAACUGAAGUCUUUCCAAAAAAUCCAAGUCCGGCUAGUACGUGAAUUGGAGAAAAAGUUCAGCGGGAAGCAUGUUGUCUUUAUUGCUCAGAGGAGAAUUCUGCCUAAGCCAACUCGAAAAAGCCGCACAAAAAAUAAGCAAA